This is a long non-coding RNA of Ctenopharyngodon idella (grass carp), 1236 nucleotides long. RefSeq lists it as uncharacterized. The record is from RefSeq and is a predicted model, not a curated record. The transcript is spliced from 3 exons. Lineage: Eukaryota; Metazoa; Chordata; Actinopteri; Cypriniformes; Xenocyprididae.
GUUGUCAGAAUGACAGGACCCCUGAUUGUUGCCCGACAUACGCCUGAAUGUAAAUGCGAGUAAUUGACGUGAUAAUUUUCAUCAUGUGUCAGAGAACCCGCUGAAAUGUACGCACAGAGUUUACAUUAAACACCAGUAAAGCAGAAACACAGCGGAGAACUUUACAGUGUUUCCUGCAGAGAUGCCAGUGGGAUCAUGCCCUCUUUGCCUCCGCAUGUAUGCGAGGCUUAGCCAGCAUUUGGUGGUGAUGCACCACGUUAAAAAUAAGGAGGAAAGAAAGCUUUUGCUUUCGCUGGAGUCUGGACGUGUGAACGUGCGUGAGGUCCGCUGUCCCGUGCCAGGCUGCGGGAAACAAACGAGUCGUUUGGAUCGGCACAUUCAAACCCACAGCAACCUUUCCAUGAUGGCCAGGAUGGAUGCGGUGUUGAGCUGCAAGCGUAAAAAGGUCUUAUCGCAGCUGAGUGCACUGAGGGCAUCUAACCCUAAGGUACUCAUGGUCUCCAGUCUCGAUUUGGAGGAAGACCCCAAGUCGGAAGACCCCAAGUCGGAAGACCCCAAGUCGGAAGACCUUUCGAUGCCUUUGGAAGAAGAGGAAAGGGAAGAGGAGCAGUGUCAAUGCUGCGUGUAAGCCCCAGACAGAUCAGCUGAAAUCACAGAUUUCUGACCUGAAUCUCCAGCUGGACACGCUGACAGAAGCCCUUCAAAAUGUCACCCGCCGGUACCUCCAGCUGAAGAGGCAGUCAGCUGCCAUGGGUUCGACAAGAAUUAAGCAGGAAACCCAUGGACUCCUCUCGUCUCUCUGGCCGGAGGAAGAAAGUGACGAAACUUCUGCCCCUGCAAGACCCCUGAACGAGCCUCCCAGCGAACCGCCCUCCCCUCAUGAGGAGCCCUCUGUCAGCCAGGGGAUGAGAGUAAACCUCAUUUCCUCAAAUCAUGCUGUGCUUCUGAGUGGAUCUCAUCUCUCCACAAAGCACAGAUGAAAGAGCCGACUCUACCACUGCAUUCAAAAUGUAGCCCAAUUUAUGGACUACAUUGCCAAAACACUGCCGCCUUUCCAAACCUGUUCUAGUUGGGCUUUGGUGUUUUCUAGUAUUUUUUCAGUAUUAUUUCAGUAAAUCCCAUUACUUCAGUGUUUUUUUUUUUUUUUUACCAUUUGUUCAAUAUUAAGAAUGUUUUGUUUUAAUUAAUCUUUAAUUGUUUGUCUGAUUUGGUGUUCUAUUAAAAUGCUUGCAUGGU